UCGCGGCUUAUCACCGGCAGUCCCCUUAGAGUGCCCAACUGAAUGAUGGCAACUAAGGGCGAGGGUUGCGCUCGUUGCGGGACUUAACCCAACAUGUCACCACACGAGCUGACGACAGCCAUGCAGCACCUGUCACUCUGUCGUAUUGCUACGAAAACCGUAUCUCUACGGCGGUCAGAGGAUGUCAAGCCCAGGUAAGGUUCUUCGCGUUGCUUCGAAUUAAACCACAUGAUCCACCGCUUGUGCGGGCCCCUGUCAAUUCCUUUGAGUUUUAGUCUUGCGACCGUACUUCCCAGGCGGGGUACUUAUUGCGUUAGCUCCGGCACGGCGGGGGUCAAGACCCACCAUGCCUAGUACCCAUCGUUUACGGCGUGGACUAC
RNAcentral lists this unclassified non-coding RNA (380 nucleotides) under uncultured Pseudomonadota bacterium. Its description in RNAcentral is "uncultured proteobacterium contains 16S-23S intergenic spacer region". Lineage: Bacteria; Pseudomonadati; Pseudomonadota. The record is from RNAcentral.